UACGUAGGGUGCGAGCGUUGUCCGGAAUUAUUGGGCGUAAAGAGCUCGUAGGCGGUGUGUCGCGUCGGUCGUGAAAACUUGGGGCUUAACUCUGAGCUUGCGGUCGAUACGGGCAUCACUUGAGUUCGGCAGGGGAGACUGGAAUUCCUGGUGUAGCGGUGAAAUGCGCAGAUAUCAGGAGGAACACCGGUGGCGAAGGCGGGUCUCUGGGCCGGUACUGGACGCUGAGACGCGAAAGCGUGGGGAGCGAACAGG
RNAcentral lists this ribosomal RNA (255 nucleotides) under uncultured bacterium. Its description in RNAcentral is "partial 16S ribosomal RNA". It matches the Rfam family "Bacterial small subunit ribosomal RNA", at positions 524 to 776 of the family's 1533-position model. The record is from RNAcentral.